This 21-nucleotide microRNA is filed under the name Hordeum vulgare. RNAcentral describes it as "hvu-miR6207". Lineage: Eukaryota; Viridiplantae; Streptophyta; Magnoliopsida; Poales; Poaceae. The record is from miRBase by way of RNAcentral.
UGGACGACCUGGGCGCCGACG